RNAcentral lists this small RNA (303 nucleotides) under Vigna angularis var. angularis. RNAcentral describes it as "Non-protein coding transcript". The record is from RNAcentral. Lineage: Eukaryota; Viridiplantae; Streptophyta; Magnoliopsida; Fabales; Fabaceae.
GUGGAGUGUGUUGUAUUUUCUCAGCUCUCUUACUUAGCCAUUUUCAUCAUUCUGGUAUGCAUGACAGAGAGCAAAAGCUUGAAAGAGGAUCCACUCAACUUUAACGUGCUCAGCAUCACCCUCGAAGUCAUAAGUGCUUAUGGGAACGUAGGGUUCUCCAUGGGAUACAGCUGCGCAAGGCAGUUGAAAGGAGAUGGUAGCUGCAAAGAUUCAUGGGUUGGAUUUUCUGGAAGAUGGAGCAACAAAGGAAAGUUCAUCCUUAUAUUGGUCAUGUUCUUUGGGAGGCUCAAGAAGUUCAACAUG